This 523-nucleotide long non-coding RNA is filed under the name Theropithecus gelada (gelada). Its description in RNAcentral is "lncRNA (ENSTGEG00000002515.1)". The record is from RNAcentral. Lineage: Eukaryota; Metazoa; Chordata; Mammalia; Primates; Cercopithecidae.
ACUUGCGGGGGUGGGGCUGCGCCGGCCUCUUCCCAGCCAGCUUGAAAGGGUUUGCGUAACCGGCCUUGUGGGCCCUUAAAGCGCUCUGUUAAAGCGUUCUGUGGGCGGCCUGGGCUCAACUCCCUUAGUCUAGGCGCACGAAGGGAGUUGCUCCUAGCUCUCGUCCGUCCCGGGUUUGCCUUUCUUUCCUUCCCGAUGCCUGGCUCUUAGGUCCACUACCGCAGAGUCUGCGGCUGCCAGGAAGCCCAGAUUCGAGUGUCCGGAGAGUAACCGGAAGUGCUGUCCCCAGGCCUAGGGGCGGCGCCGGCGGCUGCAGGGAGAGAGAAGAAUUGAGUGUUGUGAAUAGUUCUGGACUAGAGACCUUUUGAAACCAAAAGGAAGAUGGUCUUGAGUCUUUCUUGUUAUGAAUGCUAUCUUCCUUGAGAAGUCAAAUUCUCAGGAUCAAGAAUGUAUGUUUUCUUCCGUCUGGAUUCUAGGUAAGCUACAGUUACUUCAGUAUUUUGAAGUGUCCCUUCUCUUUCCC